GAUGAAGAACGUAGCGAAAUGCGAUAAGUAAUGUGAAUUGCAGAAUUCAGUGAAUCAUCGAAUCUUUGAACGCACAUUGCGCCCCUUGGUAUUCCGAGGGGCAUGCCUGUUCGAGCGUCAUUAUAACCCCUCAAGCUUAGCUUGGUGUUGGGGCCUGCUGUAAUAGAGCAGCCCUUAAAAUCAGUGGCGGUGCCAUUAGGCUCUAAGCGUAGUAAUUCUUCUCGCUAUAGGGUUCUGGUGGAUGCUUGCCAUUAACCUCUAAUUUUCUAUGGUUGACCUCGGAUCAGGUUGGGAUACCCGCUGAACUUAAGCAUAUCAAUAAGCGGAGGA
This 330-nucleotide unclassified non-coding RNA is filed under the name soil metagenome. Its description in RNAcentral is "partial contains 5.8S ribosomal RNA, internal transcribed spacer 2, and large subunit ribosomal RNA". The stretch from base 1 to 120 matches the Rfam family "5.8S ribosomal RNA", at positions 35 to 154 of the family's 154-position model. The record is from RNAcentral.